ACAGUUUCUUUUAGAAGUGCCACCCACUAAUAUUACAACUAUUAACCCAUCUGAGCGUAAUAUUAAUGAAUUUAUUCUCUGUUCAUUUCAGUUCUGCUGCUGAAACACAUAUAUGAAGAGUUUCUUCAUGCACUUUAUGUGCACUUGUCCUGGGAAAUUGUGCUGGAAUUAGAAGGGAGCCUCCUGUGCACAUUUUCUUUGAUUAUAUUGAUCUAGAAAGUUCUUCAGUAAGCCUGGCUGAGUGAAACAUAAAGUCUGUCAAGACUUCUGGCUGAACAGUUUUAAGCUGUCUACUUCCUGAAAGCAAUACUGGAAUCAGAAGCCCUGCUGUGAUGGUGCAGUCUACUGGGUCACUUCUGUCUGGGUUGCAUGCUAAUCAACUCAACCUGAAAUGCUGAUGGUGUUAAAGUAUUCUGUACC
RNAcentral lists this long non-coding RNA (420 nucleotides) under Anas platyrhynchos platyrhynchos (common mallard). Its description in RNAcentral is "lncRNA (ENSAPLG00000018154.1)". Lineage: Eukaryota; Metazoa; Chordata; Aves; Anseriformes; Anatidae. The record is from RNAcentral.